GCAGAGGAAAAUUGUUUUUCAAACUUCGGUUCUUGAAAUCCGGUUCUCCACUGGGGAGCGGGGGUUCAAAUCCCUCCCUCUGCG
This 84-nucleotide transfer RNA is filed under the name Methanococcus maripaludis. RNAcentral's name for it is "tRNA-OTHER". The record is from RNAcentral. Lineage: Archaea; Methanobacteriati; Methanobacteriota; Methanococci; Methanococcales; Methanococcaceae.